GACGAACGCUGGCGGCGUGCUUAACACAUGCAAGUCGAACGGAAAGGCCCUGCUUUUGUGGGGUGCUUGAGUGGCGAACGGGUGAGUAACACGUGAGUAACCUGCCCUUGACUUUGGGAUAACUUCAGGAAACUGGGGCUAAUACCGGAUAGGAGCUCCUGCUGCAUGGUGGGGGUUGGAAAGUUUCGGCGGUUGGGGAUGGACUCGCGGCUUAUCAGCUUGUUGGUGGGGUAGUGGCUUACCAAGGCUUUGACGGGUAGCCGGCCUGAGAGGGUGACCAGCCACAUUGGGACUGAGAUACGGCCCAGACUCCUACGGGAGGCAGCAGUGGGGAAUAUUGCACAAUGGGCGGAAGCCUGAUGCAGCAACGCCGCGUGCGGGAUGACGGCCUUCGGGUUGUAAACCGCUUUCGCCUGUGACGAAGCGUGAGUGACGGUAAUGGGUAAAGAAGCACCGGCUAACUACGUG
Molecule: ribosomal RNA, 468 nt
Filed under: uncultured bacterium
Lineage: Bacteria
Description: partial 16S ribosomal RNA
Rfam family: Bacterial small subunit ribosomal RNA
Source: RNAcentral